CAUGCUGUGCAUAGCCACCACAUGCCAUGGGCACCGUUGUCGUUCUGCACAAAGGAGGAGCAGCUCAGCAAGCUUGGCCUGGGCCGUGGGAGGGAGCAUGCAGACAUCUGGACCAACCGGCAAUGAGUUAGUUCUUGAGUGGUCUGUGGGGCCAGGAGAGGGGGGAAAUGGCCCUAAACUGGAGUACAGGAAGUUCUGCACCGACGUGAGAAGGAACUUGUUCACAGCGAGGUGACGGAGCACUGGUACAGGCUGCCCAGGGAGGCUGUGGAUUCUCCUUCCCUGGAGAUACUCCAGACCCAGCUGGAUGCCCACCUGUGCAGCCUGCUGUACGGAACCUGUUGAGCAGAGGGGGGAGUUGGACUCGAUGAUCUCUAGGGAUCCCUUCCGGCCCCUACAGUUCUGUGAUUCUGUGAUUGUAAUCGUUGCUUCUUGCAGCAGUAGAGUGUUUCAGAAGAGAGAAAAUCAUGGCGGCCAUGAGCUGGCUUUCUGUGGUUGGUAAAGCUGUGCUGAGAUCUGGGCUGACUAUUGCAGCUGAAAAUGCGUGCCAAGUCUGCAGACACAGAGGAAUAACUUUUCCAUGUAGGUUGAGCUUGUCUAAGCUUUUGUGGUACAAAGAAGCACGGCAAGGUGAUGGAACAGCUUGUCCUAGAUGCCAUGGCCAAGCAGUUGGAGAAGAAGAAGAUCAUCAGGAAUAGUCAGCAUGGAUUUAGCAAGGGGAAAGUGUGCUUGAGCAACCUCCUAGGCUUCUGUGAGGCAUCAGCAGCUAUAUGGAUGGCGGGAGAGCAAUGGAUGUAGUCUACGUUGACUUCAGCACUGCUUUUGAUGCAGUCUCCCACGACAUCCUGGUAAUGAAGCUGAGCAAGUGUGGGAUAGAUGAGUGGACGGUGAGGUGGGCUGCGAGCUGGCUGAGUGGCCGAGCUCAGAGGGUGGUGAUGGGCGGUGCAGAGUGCGGUUGGAGAGCUGUGAGUGGCGGUGAACGCUAGGGGUGGGUGCUGGCUCUGGUCUCGUUCAAUAUCUUGGUCAACAGCCUUGAGGAGGGGAUAGUGUCCACCCUCAGUAAGUAUGCCUCUGAGACAAAGCUGGGAGGAGCAGCUGGCACGCCGGAAGGCUGUGCUGCCGUUCAGCAAGAGCUGGACAGGCUGGAGAGCCAGGCAGUAGCAAAGCAGGUGAGGUGUAACAAGAGCAAGUGUAGAGUCUUGCACCUGGGAAGGAAUAACCGCAAGUAUCAGUAGAGGCUGGGACGUGAGCUGCUGGAGAGGAGCUCUGCAGAGAAGGACCUGGGGGUCCUGGUGGGUGACAGGUUGGCCAUGAGCCAGCAGUGUGCCCUGGUGGCCAAGAAGGCCGGUGGGAUGGUGGGACGCAUGAAAAGGAGCGUGGCCAG
Gallus gallus (chicken) is the source of this 1384-nucleotide long non-coding RNA. RefSeq lists it as uncharacterized. The record is from RefSeq and is a predicted model, not a curated record. NCBI's taxonomy places the organism in Eukaryota, Metazoa, Chordata, Aves, Galliformes, Phasianidae. The transcript is spliced from 3 exons.